AUGCAUCUGACGAGUCCAAAAUAGAACGAAACACGCAUCCUGGAU
RNAcentral lists this non-coding RNA (45 nucleotides) under Schistosoma margrebowiei. The record is from RNAcentral. Lineage: Eukaryota; Metazoa; Platyhelminthes; Trematoda; Strigeidida; Schistosomatidae.